Molecule: transfer RNA, 527 nt
Filed under: uncultured Prochlorococcus sp.
Lineage: Bacteria; Bacillati; Cyanobacteriota; Cyanophyceae; Synechococcales; Prochlorococcaceae
Description: partial 16S-23S ribosomal RNA intergenic spacer
Rfam family: tRNA (bases 212-284)
Source: RNAcentral
CAGGGAGACAACAAAAUGUUUAAUAUUAUUAUUUUGUCACCUUAGGUCGAUCGGUAUCUCACAUUCUUAAUUUAUUAAGGAUUUCAUUUCCUAAGUUUUUUCUAGGUCACACCCAUACUUUUCCUGGGCCAUUAGCUCAGGUGGUUAGAGCGCACCCCUGAUAAGGGUGAGGUCCCUGGUUCAAGUCCAGGAUGGCCCAUAUCUCUAUGUUGGGGGUAUAGCUCAGUUGGUAGAGCGCCUGCUUUGCAAGCAGGAUGUCAGCGGUUCGAGUCCGCUUACCUCCACUGAUUACCACCUUUACAUAAUCGAUGAGAAGGAAAUGUUUUGAGUAGUGAUCAAUUCUGAACGAAUCUAGCUUCCUAAUGAACUCAUUAAGAUGCUGGACUCAUUGAAUUAAUUUCAUUGUUUUCAGAGAAGCCUUGACAACUGCAUAGAUUAUGUUUUAAAGACAAUAAGCAUCUUUAUGAUGCAGAUUUAUUAUUUGUGCGAAUGCAUUAAUAACAACUCUAUUAAGGCUGAUGCUUCAA